GACGAACGCCGGCGGCGUGCUUAACACAUGCAAGUCGAACGGAAAGGCCCUGCUUGCAGGGUACUCGAGUGGCGAACGGGUGAGUAACACGUGGGUGAUCUGCCCUGCACUUCGGGAUAAGCCUGGGAAACUGGGUCUAAUACCGGAUAGGAGCCAUUUUUAGUGUGAUGGUUGGAAAGUUUUUUCGGUGUAGGAUGAGCUCGCGGCCUAUCAGCUUGUUGGUGGGGUAAUGGCCUACCAAGGCGGCGACGGGUAGCCGGCCUGAGAGGGUGGACGGCCACAUUGGGACUGAGAGACGGCCCAGACUCCUACGGGAGGCAGCAGUGGGGAAUAUUGCACAAUGGGCGCAAGCCUGAUGCAGCGACGCCGCGUGGGGGAUGACGGCCUUCGGGUUGUAAACUCCUUUCGCUAGGGACGAAGCUUUUUGUGACGGUACCUAGAUAAGAAGCACCGGCUAACUACGUG
This 465-nucleotide ribosomal RNA is filed under the name uncultured bacterium. Its description in RNAcentral is "partial 16S ribosomal RNA". It matches the Rfam family "Bacterial small subunit ribosomal RNA", at positions 28 to 507 of the family's 1533-position model. The record is from RNAcentral.